AACUUUCUAUUUAUUUGCUGAGUUACUCUGUAUAAUUUAAGAUCUUUUAACUUUCUUCAUCUUUGUUUUAUAACCCAGGGUUUAGUCUAUCUUGGUAUAUGUUCUGUGGAUGCUUGAGAAAAAUGUGGUUUUGUUUUUGUUCUUGUUGCGUGCAGCGUUAUGUGUGUAAUGCUUUCAUGACAUAUCAUUUUUCACCCUUUUGCUUUCAACCAGCCCAUAUAAUUACAUUUGAAGUGAAUUUCUUGUAGAUAGUGUGUAGUUGGUUGGUGUUUUUUAAUCCACUCUGCCAAUCUCUAUCUUUCAAUUGUUAGUUUUAGACCAUUUACAUUAAAUGUAAUUUCCUGAUAUUUUAGGGCUUCAGUUUGCCAUUUUAUUUUUGUUUUUUCUUUGUGUUUUUCAUUGCUGUUUUCAUUUUAUUGCCUUCCUAUUGGUUAUUUGAGCCUUUCUUUAACAUCACUUUAAUUCAUUUAUAUGCUCUAGCUAUAUGUGCAUCUAUUUGUAUAGUUUUUUAGUGGUUGUUCUCGGUUUACAUUAUAUAUAUAGUUUAUCACAAUCUACUACUGUUAUGGUUUUACCAGUAAAAGUGAAGUAUAGGGACCUUACCUGUCCAUAUGUCCCUUUACCCUCCCCUGUUUAUAAUUGUUUAAAAUAUUUCCUCUACAUACAUUUAGAACCACAUCAGACAGUGUUAAAAGUUUUGCUUCAACUCUUAAAAAUAAUGUAGAAAACUCAAGAGGAGAAAGGAAGGCAGUUUGUGUAUUCAUUUUUGCUUACUAUGUUCUUUCUUCUUUCCUGAUGUUGCAAGGCUCCAUCUUGUAUUGUUUAUUUUCUGUUCAGAAAACUUCCCUUAGCCAUUCCUUUAGGGUGGGUCUUUUGGACACAAAUUCUCUUAGUUUCAUUCAUCUGAAAAUGUCUUGAUUUUUCCUUCAUUCCUAAAGGGUAUUUUCACUGGACAUAGGAUUCUGACUCAUAGCACCUCAUAGAUUCACUAUGAGUCAGAAUCAAUUCGACAGCAACUGGUGUAGGAUUCUGGAGUUGACAGUUCUUUUCUUUCAGCAUUUGAAAAAUAUCUUGCCAUAACCUUCAGUCCUCUGUGGUUUCUGAAGAGGAUUCUGCUCUUAUUUCAAUGGUUUUUCACUAUAGGAAUCUGUCAGCCCUAUUUCUCAUCAUGGCAUCAGGGCCAGCAAACAAUUUUCAAACCUUACAGUUUGCUGGGAGUGAAGAGCUCCUGAAUGUGGAGUGUGGAGGAGCUGUGACGAGCUAGCUGGUAUCAGGAAAGGAUCAGGUCUGUUGCAACAGAUUUCCCUGAAGCAAUAUGUGGUUUGAUUUCUUCACUGGUGCUUCUAUGGACAUUGAUUGUGGAUUCAAGUAAAAUGAAAUCCUCGACAACUUCGGUAUUUUCCCUGCCUUGCUAACCCACACUAAAGAGACUCUCUCCAUUGUUGGAUCUAAAGAAGUAAGCUGCCAUGUUGUGAGAGGAUGUCUUGAGAGGGCCAUGUGGCACCGUAUUACUGGUGGUUUCUAGGAGCUGAGAGCGGUCCUCAGCCAAACGUCCUACAACGGUAAGGAGAUGAAUUCUUCCAACAAACUGAGGGAACUUGGAUCUUUCUGCAGUUGAGCCUCUGAUAGGCCCGUAGCCCUGGCCAACACCUGGUUGCAGCCUGGUGAGAUCUCAAUCAGAGAACCCAGUUAAGUUGUGCCCAGAUUUCUGACCCUCAAAAACUGUGAGAGAAUAAAUCUGUGCUGUUUUUAGUUGCUAAGUUUGUAAUCAUAUCUCACACAGCAGUAGAACAAUAAUGUUGUUUGUUGUGUGCCAUACAACUAAUGUGACAGACUUGUCACCUGGGGCUGUAAUUUUUACAGGAGCAGAUCACCAGGUCUUUCUCCUGCCGAGUGGCUGGGUGGGUUUGAACCACCAACCUUUUUGGUUAGCUGCCUCGUGCCUAACCACUGUGCCACCAGGGAUCCUUCAAAACAUGGUAGGUCCUUCAGAGCAGGAACCAACACUGCUUUUAUCUGCAGCACCAGGCAGGGUCUGGCAUACAAAAAGUGCUCAAAAAAUAUUGUUGUCUGACUAAGUAAGUAACUGAACAACUGAGUGAGUGAAUGCAAGGCCUGCUUUUUGGUAGUGGAGCAGUCAACCACUGUUGACUACCCUGAGACAUCUCAGACCUUCUGUCGUCCUUGUGUUUGAUGCUAACGUGGUUAUGUGCUUUGAUCUAUCCUUCUCAUUUCUAUGCCCAGUCUAGGCUUCCUUCCAUAUUCCAGAAGGCCUUGUGUCUUUACAAUGUGUCUGACUCAUGCCGGUUUGCUGAUCCAGGUGUUCUGAACUGUGCAGCAAUCUUGCGAGGUCUCCUUUCACACUAUGUCCUGGAUGGAGCCCAGCUUGGAGCACUUUCCUGGGCAACACAAUGUGAGUGACAGCCCAUUUCAAAGAGCUUCUCCUGUCAAUUGCUUUACACCAUUUCCUGAACCUCGGAACAAUUUUCUGGCUCUCUGAUGCCCUCUAAUAUCUCCUGGCUGUCCUGAAACUUCUGAAACACAGCAUUGUCCUCAAGCCAUUUUUUAAAUUUUUUUAAUGAAUUCAUUUUUUUCCACUUAAUGCAAAUUUCAGACCUCAGGUUUGACAGAAAUGGAGGCCUGUAUUAUUGACAAAUGCAAACACCUGUGUAACCCAAAUUCCUGUCAAGAUACAGAACAUCACCAUCUCCCAGAAUGUUCCCAGAUGCUGUAUCCCAGUCAUUCCCUGCCCUAUCCCACCCUCCCGAGAAAACCCUAGAUUCCUUUUGUCUGUUCUAGAACUUCUUAUCAAUGGAAUCAUACAGUACAUACUCUUUCGUGUUUGGUUUCUUUUACUCAGUAUGUUUUUGAGAUGCAUCUGUGCUAUUUCAUGGGUAAGCAAUUUGUUCCUUUUUACUGCUCAGUAGAGUUCCAUUGUGUGAACGUACCACAGUCCAUUUAUCUAUUCUCCUAUCCAUUGACCCCUUGAUGGUUUCCAGGUUUUGGCUACAUUUUCAAUAAAAUUGUGCAUUUCUUUAAUAAUUUUUAAUCAAAGUUUGUAAUAUAUUUUUGUUGUCUUAAUCAAUCAUAGACAAAGAAUAAUUAUAAUAUCAAUUCAAUCCAGCAGAAAAUCUUUAACACUUUCAAUUUUAUAGUCACAAGAAUGCAAAUUAAAUAUAUAUAUAUAUUGGAAACCCUGGUGGCAUAGCGGUUAAGAGCUAUGGCUGCUAACCAAGAGGCCAGCAGUUCAAACCCACCAGAUGCUCCUCGGAAACUCUAUGGGGCCGUUCUACUCUGUCUUAUAGGGUCGCUAUGAGUGUGAAUCGACUCAACAGCACUAGGUUAUAAUGAAAAAAAAUUACGUGUUAACAUAAACAUAUGGAAGGGAGAUCAUAGCCUCCCACAUUAUUUCAGGAAGGACAGAAGCACAAUAGUUGGAAGAUCAUGGAGUGUGUUGUUUACAGCCUUUAGUUGCAUUGUUCCAGUUACUAUUGCUGCUUGACAAAUUACCCCAUAACUUACAGCUUAAAACAACAACCAAUUCACUUGUGCUCACAGGCUCUGGGGGUCAGGAAUUUGGACAGGGCAGUGGGAAUACUUGUCUCUGCUUCACUAUAUCUGGGACCUCAAGUGGGAAGACUGAAAGGUGGGGGUGACUUGAAGGCUGGAGGCUGGAACCAUCUGAAUGGUCACAUGGUCACGUAGUCUAGUACCUGGACUGGAAGGAUUUGAAGACUGGGACUUCUGGCCACAGAGCCUGCCGUGCCGUCAGGAUUGCUGGACUUAUUGCGCAGCUUCUCAGGGCUCUGAGCGUGAGGGCACCCGUGAACGAGGAGUAUGCUGCACCCCCGUUUUUGUCCAUCCUCAGAAGCAAAGCCACGUCAUUUCUCCACCCCUUAUUGGCUGAAGCAGUCCCAAGCUUGCCAGAUACAAUGGGACAUGAGAGGACAGUGACAAUUUUAACCUCCAUAGUCACUGUAGAAAAAAAUGAGUGACUGUAUUUUUCCAGCACUUAUUAUACUGCUACUCAAUAGAUAGCUCAUAAUUAAACUAUAAGUGAAAAUAAAUCUUUUUGUACAUAAAAGAAUUUCGAAGCCUGUUCAAAAUACCGUGAAGAAAAA
This is a long non-coding RNA of Loxodonta africana (African savanna elephant), 4121 nucleotides long. RefSeq lists it as uncharacterized. The record is from RefSeq and is a predicted model, not a curated record. The transcript has 3 exons. Lineage: Eukaryota; Metazoa; Chordata; Mammalia; Proboscidea; Elephantidae.